GGAAACACACCCCAGCUCAUUAGUGGGUUGUUUGUUUCAGAACCAACUUAACGUGGCUCAGAGAAAUACAAACAUGCAUGUCAAAUUCAACAGGGAUGUAAAACAAGUAUGCAGCCCACCAACAACAUUAAAGCAGCUGUUUAGUUAAAAUAUGUACCGACUGACACAGGUGUCAAUAUGUAAAUUAGGGGAAAUAAGUGGGCAAAUACACAUAUAAAAGUAAAUGUAAAAUAGGGGUUUUUAGAGUAAUAAACAAAUGAUGUGUUGAAUGACAGAUGAGAGCAGAUAUAAUAAUCACACAGUUUGAAGCUGCAGACAGUUUGAAUCAGACUCAGGACAGAAACACACGACCUCUAAAAAAUGGACCAAACUCUAUAUUUCAUUCUUCUUCUCAUUGCUCUCUGCUCUGUAUCUGAAUGUGUUCAGCGUCAGUAUCACUUUAUAAAUGAGAGGAAGACCUGGACUGAAGCUCAGAGAUACUGCAGAGAGAAUUACACAGAUCUGGCCACCGUUGACAGCAUGAACGAAAUGAACAACAUGAACGAGCUGAAGAAGAGAGUGAAUGACAGAAGUGUUCAGUAUGUCUGGAUUGGUCUACAGAAGACGGGUUGUGAUGAAUGGCAUUGGUCUUCAGGUGAACCUGUGCUCUAUCAGAACUGGGCUACUGGACAACCAGAAGGAAGAGAUUAUUGUGCUAUGAUGAAAACUGGACAAUGGCAUGAUAUGGCAUGUAGUGCUACCCAACGUUUCAUCUGCAACAAUAGUGAGGGUAGAUAUUUCAAAUUACAACAACAGUUCCUUUUGUUGUUACACUAUGGGGUAAUUUUUCACAAUGGGAAACUACAAUUAAAUAACCUAAAGAUAGAAUGAUGUGCAUUUAGUUGUUAAAAAUCUGAUAAUAUUCAUAAUAAACAUACAGAAGUGAUUAGAGGUGAAAUAGCUUGAUAUUUUCAGCUUUCAGUAUCUCAACACAAACCUGUAAUGGGUGAAUUUUUACUUGUAGACUAACUUAAGUCUAGUACAUUAAAUCACAAAACAAUCCAGCAAGAUCAAGAGCAUCAACACUGGAACUAUACUAAUUCAUAAAUUAAUGGUCUUACGAACUAGUUAAUACGGUGGAUGAGAAAGCUCAAUGCAUUGCAAAUGAAAA
Onychostoma macrolepis is the source of this 1150-nucleotide long non-coding RNA. RefSeq lists it as uncharacterized. Lineage: Eukaryota; Metazoa; Chordata; Actinopteri; Cypriniformes; Cyprinidae. The transcript has 3 exons. The record is from RefSeq and is a predicted model, not a curated record.